GUUAACCCCCUUUGAUCUUACUUUAGGAUUCAUUUGAUUGAUAAGUGUAAAAUCAAUUGAAAAUUUUGUGAAUAAAUGAAUCCUAAUUUCUUUCGUGUCAAUUGAACCCUCAAACCAAGUUGUUUGCAAAUUUUGCCUUUUGCUUAUUUCUAAGUAGGGAGCAUUAUUGAAUAAAUUUGGUUUUGGAAUCUAAAGUUGGAGAGAGUAAAGAAAAAAAGAGUUGAUUAGAAACUUGGAAAAGUGAGUUUUUAUGAGAGGGUAAAAAUAUGAAAAGAAACAACAAAAAGAAAUCACCCUUGAAACCAUAGAGCAAAGAAAAAAGAAAAGAAAGAAAAAUAAAAAAUAAAAUAAAAAAAAAACAAAGAAAAGGCUCAUGGUUGUGUAGAUAAAUAUAAGAAAAGGAAAAAGAUGGGGAUCAA
RNAcentral lists this long non-coding RNA (419 nucleotides) under Lathyrus oleraceus (garden pea). Its description in RNAcentral is "Pisum sativum (pea) long non-coding RNA (PSAT_LNC035735)". Lineage: Eukaryota; Viridiplantae; Streptophyta; Magnoliopsida; Fabales; Fabaceae. The record is from RNAcentral.